RNAcentral lists this ribosomal RNA (323 nucleotides) under uncultured bacterium. RNAcentral describes it as "bacterial SSU rRNA". It matches the Rfam family "Bacterial small subunit ribosomal RNA", at positions 28 to 334 of the family's 1533-position model. The record is from RNAcentral.
GAUGAACGCUAGCGACAGGCUUAACACAUGCAAGUCGAACGGAACUGUUUGAAUGAAGUUUUCGGAUGGAUUUUAAACAGUUUAGUGGCGGACGGGUGAGUAACGCGUGGGUAACCUGCCUCACACUGGGGGAUAACAGUUAGAAAUAGCUGCUAAUACCGCAUAAGCGCACAGCUCCGCAUGGAGCAGUGUGAAAAACUCCGGUGGUGUGAGAUGGACCCGCGUCUGAUUAGCCAGUUGGCGGGGUAACGGCCCACCAAAGCGACGAUCAGUAGCCGGCCUGAGAGGGUGAACGGCCACAUUGGGACUGAGACACGGCCCAA